CCGGUGAGAAAGGGUUUACUUUCCCCAUCGCGAUAUCGUCCGGUGGCGGUGGCGGCGAACGCCGUACCCUAGCUGCCUCCUGCGCCGCCACGGCCUCGUGCCCGCUCCUCGCUGCAGCACUCGCCGCCGACCAUCAACGUCGACCGCUCGCGGGAUUCCUCCAGUCGCUUCCCAUCUACUCCACCGGCGACUUCUCCAAGCGCCCGCCGCCAUGCGAUUCCCGCUGCUUCGCCGACCGCCCCUUCACCGUCGGCGGCCAUCUCUCUCCGCGGCGGCAACUCCAUCGUUCUGCUGCACGCGUCUGCUCGCCAGUGCGCUGCGGCCGGCUCCACCUCGCCCUCUCCUCGUGGCUUCCACCUCGCCCUCGCCUUGAGGACCUCUGCAACGGCAUCGCCGAGGUGAAGGUGGGGAUCAUGGUGAGGGAGGGGGAGCUCGGCCAGAUGGUGGUGGUCGGCAUCCGCCUCCACGACAAGAGCUCAUCUCAUAUAAAUGCACAAGGUCUUGGUGAUGGUUGGUCUCGACUCUUCACAUGUUAUUGCCCAGAUAUUUUUCUGAAAGUGUAAAUUAACAUGGCCUCUGAUUUCUGAAAGGUAAUCUUAUAAUCGUUCUUGUAGGCCUCUGCCAUUUAAAUUUGGGUGGGGACACUCAAUAAGACUUUGUGAAACAUGGCUAAUUCGGGUGUGAAGAUCAAAAUCUUAUCAAAAUACUACCAUGGAAUGACUAUGGACUAAAUCAGACCUUGACGUUUUGCUGUUGACAUUAAGGUUUCUUAAAUUUGUUCUCAUAGGCUUCCACAUAUUUUGCAUUUAAAUUUGGGUUGGCGUCACUUAUCAGGACUUUGUAGGUUUACAUGGCUACCUUGGAUGUGAGGAUCAACAUAUAACCACAGGUGCCCUUAUAUUUGUUCUCGUAGGCGCCUACAUAUUUUGCAUUUAAAUUUGGGGUCGGACUCACUCAUCAGGACUUUGUGGGUGUAAAUGGCUAGCUUGGAUGUGAGGAUCAAAAUAUCACCACCGAAUAAUUGUGGAAUAAAUGAGACUUCACAUUUAACUAAGGUUUGCAAUUUUCUCACACAGCGCUACAUUUCUAAUACCAAUGGAGGUCCCUGCGUGGGGAAUGGAUUUCAUGGGUGUCAACCGUCUUAUCAGCUUUGAUUUUUCAAAAUUGGCUUCUGCCUAUAUUCACAUUAUACAGGAAGAUAUCCAACUUUGGGCAUCUAAUUUAUGAUGUAUUAUUGUUCUGUUUUUAGUGUUUUGGAAUUUGUGAUCAAACCUAAAACAUGUUUCGGGCUUGUUUGGGCAAGAGCCUGAGGGGUUCUUUCUCUAGGAUUUUGAAUAUUCAAGUGUUGUGUAAUUUUGCAGGAAAUGCUACCAGAGGUUUGUCCCUCCUCCCUUAUGUUUGGUUAAUUAACCACCAUCUUUGGUAGACGUAUAACAGGCUACACGUGAUUGAAUGCUGACUGUACCUCCGCAGAAAGGUCGAGGGCAAGCGCUUCAAUUCCUUCCUUGACCUCUACCGCUAUGACCCAUGGGAGCUCUAGUGAUCCAUCCACCGGCGAUAUUGACAAGCUUUCAACAUCCAAUAUACAUGUGGAUCUAAGAAGUUUAUAACUCACCUGGUUAUGGCCUAUGUAUUCACAUUUUGGACCUGCUAUGUACUUAUGAAGGAAUAUGAAAACGUCACAACCAUGAGGUUGUGCUUUCUUGUUUCAGAGAAACUACAACCAGAUCAGUUACCGGAUUCAUCUGGUAUAACGAUAGUUUGGCGACGCUAUUGGCACAAGUGCUGAAUGCUGAUCUUCUUAUCAUGCUUAGUGAUGUGGAGGGACACUAUAGUGGUCCACCGAGUGAUCCUCAAUCAAAGGUCAUCCACACGUGCAUUACUGAAAAAUCUCAUGUAGGAAGAGAUGGAAUGCAAACUAAAGUGGCAUCUGCUGUUACUGCUGCAUCAAAGGGCGUACCUGCUGUAAUUGUGAGGUGACCACAACUUUUUUUUUUCUUGGUGUUAGAGCAUGAAAUUUUAUAUGCAUACCUACUAAAUAUUCCCAUUAGGUUAAGAUACUGCAAGCUACUAUAUGGUCAGUCAAACUGGCAGCUACCAUAUUUGUGCAAUUUUGGAACGCAGGGAGUACUAAUUAAACUAUUGCUGCUAUAAUUGGAUAUUCAAAAGUGCUCGAGUAAGACAAUUGGUAAUUAGUUAUGGAGAUUGGAGUUUUAAUGCAAGGGUUUAACAUUAGAUAAUCAUCUGCAAUGUUUGUGUUGAUAUAUAGUUUGAAUAACUUUCUUAAUUCUUAAGUACUCCUAUCAAACUGCGCAUCUUCGAAGUGGCUGGUGCCACGUUUGUUUGUGCUGUUGGUCAGGAAGCAGCUUAGCACACGGUGGCAUCAGACGAAAAUAACCAGAAUAGAAGGUUCAUCAAUAAAAUGUGCAAUUUAAUUUUCAAUCUGUUUACUUCUCUAGAGGAUCAUCUACCUCACCCAUUUUGAUCGGAAUUGUGUGUACGGAAAAAAUUUCACCAUGCAAGAAUACCAAGUUCGCCACCUUGAAUGCCUUAUAGGCACAAAGAGCCCUCAGUUCAGAUACUAUGUGUGCACAAUGAACAAGCCAUUUGUCUCACCCAGACAAAGGAUGUAUCUUGAUCAUACCGAGUUCCUGCUGCCGUAUCUUGAUCCUGCAGUGAACCAUCUGCGUAUAAAGCUCGCGGGAACCUCAAUUGCACAUCGAGUUCGCCUAAUGAAAGGAACAUAUGGUAGAGCAACCAUCACCACCAACUGGCAAAAUUUUGUGCACGAUGCUGGACUUCAAGAGAGAUAUAGUGGCCUUUGUAUUCAGCGCUCGUCGAACCAAGCUGUGCCUCCAUGUUCAACAACUCUAGCUGAAAUUAUGUAAUGAAAACAAGAUGUCUGUACAGAAAUAUCCACAUGGUGCUACCCUUUUGUCACUUGCUGUAACUCUCAUGAAGCAAAAUAAGUAUUCCCUUCGAUCCAUAUUACUUGUCUCAAA
Long non-coding RNA from Brachypodium distachyon (stiff brome), 3002 nucleotides. RefSeq lists it as uncharacterized. Lineage: Eukaryota; Viridiplantae; Streptophyta; Magnoliopsida; Poales; Poaceae. The transcript has 10 exons. The record is from RefSeq and is a predicted model, not a curated record.